RNAcentral lists this long non-coding RNA (9244 nucleotides) under Zostera marina. Its description in RNAcentral is "long non-coding RNA (ZMAR_LNC003482)". The record is from RNAcentral. Lineage: Eukaryota; Viridiplantae; Streptophyta; Magnoliopsida; Alismatales; Zosteraceae.
GUUGGAUCGUGAUCCGAGGCUAUAAGGGGGGAUGAUAGCCUCUUUUCGAUUUAUACAGGUUGAUUGCGGAAUUACCUGUAAAUGCUUAAUAAACAAAUGGUUGAACAGUAAUGAUAUAAGGAUAUUAUUAUUUUAAUUGAUAUAAUAAUGUAAGUAUUACUCUUCGAAGCUUACUACAGUAUAUGAAUACUGAGUCAACUUGCUUGAUAGUGUUUCACACACAACUAUAGUAUAUGAAUACUAAGUUAUAUUAGAAACACAAAUUGUAUUGUAGAGUAAAUGACCAGAUAACUGGAUAUAUUGAUACGCAAGUAAAUGACCAGAUAACUGGAUAUAUUGACAAACAAGUAAGUGACCAGAUAACUGGAUAUAUUGACAAACAAGUAAGUGACCAGAUAACUGGAGAGAUAUGAUAAGUAAUACUUGAACAAAUAUAAGGAUUUAAAGCAAUGAAUAUAACCUCAGAUAGUUGACCAGAUAACUGGAUGAGGGAUCUGCGUAAAGUAGUCAACCUCUGUGUUUGACCAGAUAAAUGGAAGAGGAAUCUUUUUAAUUAAGUGUUGUUUUUAAGUAAAAGAUAGAACUAUAAUUAACAGAGAACAACACAAGAGAUUUAUACUGGUUCACCCAAACAAGGGCUAGUCCAGUCCCGACCAACUGCCGGAAUUCACUCGCCUAAAGGUAAUGGCAAAACCUUAGAGUAUCAAGGAAACUCUUAAGAACCUCUCUAAGCUUUAAGGCUACUUCNNNNNNNNNNNNNNNNNNNNNNNNNNNNNNNNNNNNNNNNNNNNNNNNNNNNNNNNNNNNNNNNNNNNNNNNNNNNNNNNNNNNNNNNNNNNNNNNNNNNUAUGGAUUAAAGAUUUUAUAAUGUUAUAAUCCAUAAGAUAUUAGUGAAUGAUAUGUAUAAAUCCAUAAUAUUCACUAAUUGCUUUAAGGAGAAAUUGAGCAUUUAAAAUUUUAAAAUCUAUGUCUUAGUGACAAAUAUAAUCAUGUAAAUAUUCACUAAGUUUUAAAAGAUUUAAAAUUUUCAUUUCAGUCCUUAAAGCCUUAGUAGUAAAACUUCACAUAAAACAAAAUUUCAUUUAAGCCCUUUGAAGUUAUGAUAAAUACUUAGAUUAAUACUUGAAAUAUUUCAUUUAAACCUUGGAAGUAUUAACUAAUUCUAAGCACUUUUCAAUUUGAAAACUUCAUGUAAAUAUUAAUUUUAAGUCCCUGAAGUUUUAACUAAAUAUUUAUUCACUGUAAUGAUAUCCUUUGAACCCUUAAGUUUCAAUGAAAAACUUCAUUGAUAAUUUAAUCCCUUUGAAGUUAUAAUGAAUACUUAGAUUAAUACUUAAAAAAAUUUCAUUUUAAACCUUGGAAGUAUUAAAUAUUUCUAAGUAAUUUUUUGAUUAAAACUUCAUGUAAAUAUUGAUUCUAAGUCCCUGAAGCUUUGACUAAAUUUAUAUUCACUGUAAAGUUAUCAUUUUGACCCUUAAGUUUUAGUGAAUCUUAAAAACUUCAUAAACGAUUUACGUUUAAGUCCUUGAAGUUUCACAAAACUUUAUAUUCACUGAAAAAUAUAAUUUUAAUCCUUAAGUUUCAGUGAAUCAUUUUAAACUUAGAAACUUCAAACAUAAUUUAUGUUUAAGUCCUUGAAGUUUCAUAAGACUUUAUAUUCACUGAAAAAUAUAACUUUAAUCCUUAAGUUUUCAGUGAAUCAUUUUAAACUUCAAAAAUAGUUUGUGUUUAAGCCCUUGAAGUUUUAAAGUUCAAGACUUUGAAAAGUCGAUUAAUACUUCAAAAGAAUUUUAAUUUUAUACCUUGAAGUAUUAACUAAUGUCCAUGCAGCCCUCAAAUUUUUGAUAUUGCUAAUAUUAUGUUUUCUUUAUGCAUGCAUACCCUUAUGUUGAUAAGCUUAGAUGAUUAAAAUCAUAAAACGAUUUUUCAUUUCAACAGAAGAGGUGAUACAUGACAGGAUUAAUCUCAUAUUCAAUGAGACUACGAUCCAUGAAUGGAUCUCCAAAAUAACAGAAAAACAGACACAAAAUACAAGUACUCAAAACAUCAAAAUACUUCUUAGGGCAGAUGUAGUUCAGUCAUAGUGGUGCAUGGUUGGGAUGACCUUGGAGCUAAACUCAUGAAAUAGGUUAGCCAACUCCAGGUUAUAUUCUCUCUCAACAUCUAGCUGUUGCCUUGUUAUGGAAACCAUCUCUUCCAGAUCUCCCAUUCCUUUCUCCAGCAUCCUCACUUGAUGUCGAACCCUUAUGAUUUCCUCAUUCAAAAACACAUUAGUGUUUUGUGAGUUUGGAUCAUAAGUGUUUCUCCAAGUCUUUUGGAAGGAGCUUGCAGUGAAUGGUUGAAUGUGAGAUAUGAUUGGAUGUGGAUAGAGUGGAAUUCCAAAGUACCCUGGGCUAAAGAGUUUUGAGAGCAUCCUUGGGUAGUAGCGAGCUCCAGUGUUCUUGGUUGAUGUAGCCAGAUUGUGCAUGAUCAGUGAUACCCAGUUUACUCUGAUCUUUGACAGCAAGCAGUAAAUUGCUACUAAGAUCAACGUUGAUGGUUCUUCUCUAUCUUCAAUUUGAGGAUAUAUAUUGUACGAGAUGAUCUUCAAAAAGAUUGAGGCUUCUGGUAUGAGCAUUGUAUUCAGAAUCUUAUCAGUGCUCUUAGGGUUAUACCUGUGGGUGAGAGUAUUCCAGAGAAUCUCCCAGCUGCACUUAAAAGGUAGCUCAUCCAGGCUUCUGCAGUUUUGAAGCUUCACUCUGUUGUUGGGUAGGUUUAUCCAUAUUCCAAGUUUAUCAGCUCUUAGAAUGAGACAUAUUCCAUUUACCUUGGUGGUGAUCACUUGAGUACCUACUGUCUCAUACUUGAGAUUUGCAUAGAACUGAGCCAACUCAGAUUUGUAGAUUCUGAGCUGCCCUAUGUUCUCAAGGUAGUCAGUAAGCCUGUUGAAGUUUAGUAGCCCUUCAAUCACCUUGCAGUUGAGAGAUCUGAGUAGAACAGGUUCCUCAAAGAUCAUUCUUUGCUCGAGAAUGAGAUUAUAGGAAAAUUUGGCUAUUGGAGAGAUCCAUGUUGGUGUUCCUUGGAACAUUUCUGAUACUGGAAUCUUUCUGGUGCGUUUCUUCCGGAUAGCGUUGCUGCUUGAAGGAUUGGGGUUGUAUACCGGACUGGAAGGACAGUCUGGUAUGAUUGUUAGUUCCUUCUUCUCAGGAUUGAUUUCUUGAAUCAACAUCCUUGGGACAGACUGGUGUUAGGAAGAGGAAGAAGAUAUGUAUUUGAUUGUUCUUCCUAUCCUUUUAUAGUGAGAUAUUCUACUAUUUGGCUGAUCAUGUCUGUCCAGAUUCUGAAUUAACAGAUAUUGCUUGUAAAGCUUUACAAGCUUUAAGUCAUGUCUACCCGUGAAGAGUUGGCAACUUAGGGUUUGUUUUUCAAUACUCCAUGACACAUGUCUUGGAGAGUCAAAUCAUUUAGAUUUAUCUAGAGAUUUUGUUUAAUAGAUCUAAGUUAAGAUUUGUUUAAAAAACUAUUUAUUUAACUAUUUAGAUCAUACCUUUUUAGUAGUUCAACACAACUCUUACACUCUCCAUGCCUUUAGACUUUUGUAGCCGAUGUUUUCAACUUCUGCAGAUGAAGAUUGAUGUGUGCAGGUGCAGGAUUUGUCUUUUGUCAGUAGUUCUUGCGAGGUGUUUCUUUGCAGGUCAUUCUCUGGUAAUAGAGUUGCCGGAUGUCGCAAGUGAUUGAUGGUUGCAGAUGGGUUGCUGGCUUUUUCAGCAAUGAGAGUUUCAAAACAUAUCUUAUUUGUUUUGAGUUUCCAAGGCAUGGUGUGGCUUACCAACAUCAUUUAGAUAAGAUAUAAUAUAGCAGAAUGGAUUUAACAAUAUGUUGUAUUUAGAUGAUGUUGCAUAGUUGACUAGUUUGCAUUUAACGGACUCUUCUAAACAUGCAGAUGAUUAGUGAUAAGUGAGAUUUCAUCAUGCAUGUAUAUGUCUACAACAUAUAUUCAACUUCUUGAAUAUAUAAUCGUGGCAUAUAAUGAGUUGUUUUGAAGUUUUCAUGCAUGUAUUGCACAUCUCAUAUGUAGGUAGAUUCAUUUUACUUUGCAUGCAUACUAUAUGUAUUUAUCAAAAGAUUAUAAGCAUACAGAUGGUUUGUAAUACGUAAAACAGGCAUGUAUAGGAUUAGUUUCAUGAAUUGAUUGUGAGUUAGCUAGUUUAGUAAGGAAAUAUUCAUGUUUAUGAUUGUAUGUCAUAUAGUUCUCUAACUAGUAUUAAAAAGAUGGCAUCAUUCAAAGAUAAUCAACUGUUUGGUAGGUGAUUGUAUGUAAGCAUGAUGAGUGCAUAUGAUAUGAGUCAACGAGUUUGAUAAUGAAAGCAUAAUCUCAUAGUAUAUAACUGAUUGUUUCAGAUGAUUAUGUAAUUGAAUAUUUCAUAGGUGAUUUUAUAAACCAAGCAUUUAUCAGAUCAUAUAUUUUAUAGAAGCAUAUAAAUCAAUGUAUAGGCAUGUAUUAACGUGAUUGAUAUGAUAGAUUUAGAUUUUAUUAAGUUUGCACAUAGAUCUACUUAAGCUUUAUUUGAGAUACAAAGUAAUCUAGGACAUAGUUGUUUAUAUAGCAUUAGAUCAUGUUAAGUUCAUAUGCAUAUAGAUCUACUUAGGCUUUAUUUGAGAUACAAAGUAAUCUAGGACAUAGUUGCCUUGUAUAGAUGAUCUUGUUUGUAUACCAGUGUGUUGAUCUCCAAUGAUUUAUUCUGCGGAGUCUAAGUUUCUGAGAUUCCUAUUUGAUGGAAGUUCAGAGAUGAUUAUUUCUUGAUCAUCUCUUUCUAUGGGAGUGUCAGAUGGUAUUUGUUGAAUGACUUCAAUUCCUCCUUCUUCUGUGUUUGGAACAGAGAUGGACUCAUCAACGUCAACGUGUAGGGAUUCUAUCAAUGUUUGUCUUUCUUUGAGAAGGACUCUAUAUGCCUUGCUCCUUUUUGAGUAUCCAACCAGGAUUCCUUCAUCAGAUUUUUGUGCUAAUUUAUCUUGGUUUCCCCUUGUUGUGAGAACAUAGCACUUACUCCCAAAUACUUUAAAGAAUGAAACUUUGGGUUUUCUAUUAUUCCAAAGUUCAUAGGGCGUUUUAAGGUCUUUCUAAUGAUUACCUUAUUGAGAGUGUAACAGGCAGUGCUUAUAGCUUCUGCCCAUAGAUAUUGAGGGGAGUCAUGUUCUUGUACCAUAGACUUACUCAUUUCUUGAAGAGUACGAUUUUUUCUUUCUACUAUUCCAUUUUGAGGUGGAGCUUGAGAAACAACAAAUUCAUGCUUUAUCCCAUUGGAUAUACAGUACUCUUCAAAGUCAGAAUUUUCAAAUUCUCCUCCAUGAUCACUUCUGAUUUUUAUGAUAGAUGAACCUUUUUCAUUCUGUACUAGGGUACAAAAUUUAGAAAAUUCACCAAAGGUUUCACUUUUGUUUCUUAGAAAGAACACCCAUGUAUAGUGAGAAUAAUCAUCAAUGAUUACAUAGGUGAACCUUUUUCUUCCAAGGCUUUGGAUUUGGGUUGGCCCAAAUAAGUCCAUGUGAAGAAGCUCUAAGGGUCUAGAAGUGGUUAUUUUUGUGAAGGAUUUAAGUGAGCUUUUGUGUUGCUUUCCUUUUUGACAAGCAUCACAGAUAUUAUUUUUUUCAUAAGCUAUUUUAGGCAACCCGGUUACUAAUUCUUCUUUAGAUAAUCUAGAUAGCUUUGAGUAGCUGGUGUGACCUCGUCGUCUAUGCCAUAGAACUUUCUCAUCACUUGCAGCAAGCAUGCAGAAGUCAUGAGUUGGUUUAGAUUUAUCAAAGUUUAUAGAAUAAGCAUUGCUUUUUCUAUAUCCUCUGGCAAUGAUAACUCCCUCAGAGUUAGUGAUAGAACAAUUGUAUUUUUCAAAUUUUACUACACAACCGAUAUCACAUAAUUAACUUAUGCUAAUCAGGUUGUGUUUUAGACCAUUUACUAAGUAUACAUUUCUUAAGAAUGGUUUUUCUGUAUUUCCUACAUUACCCCUACCUACUAUUGUACCUUCAUUGUUAUCGGCGAACUUAACCUUUUUAGUAGUAGGUAAGUCUAUCAAGUCGUUUAGUAGACUUGAUUCCCCGGUCAUGUGUCUUGUGCAUCCACUGUCGAACAUCCAUUUUGACACAUGCUUUUCCUGAAAAAGUUGAAAGAUCCUUUGGUACCCAUAUUGAGUUGGGUCCUGAUGAAUUAACAUAUUUAAUCUGCUUAUAGUUUCGUAACUCAUCUUUAGUCAUCCAUCUUUGCUUUGGAUGAUUCAUCUUAGAAUGAUUUUUCUUUUUCUUAAGAUGAAUGAAUUUUGUAUUACUAGAAUAAUUAUUAUAUAUUGAAGCAUGCAAAGGUUUUGUAUAACUAGAUUCCCAUACAAAAUGAUCAUUAUAAGUUGUGGCAUUUAAGGUUUUGUUAAUAGGUGCAUUUGACUCAAACUCUAAGCCAAAUUUCUUUUGACCCAAGUUCGAGCCUUGCAACAUAUUAUUUAACUUGGAUGAACUAUUGAAGAAUUUUUGAAGAACACUAUUUUUCUCAUUUAUUCUUUCAGUUUGUAAUUGUAUGCUGUUAUGUUUUUCAGAUAAUUUUUGUAGAGUUUCUUCAUGCUCAAGUAUGAGUUUAUCCUUAGAUUCUAUUUCAGUUUUAAGCAUGAUUGUUUCUUUUUCUUUAUUUCUAAUGAUUUCCUCAAAAUUAUCUAUUUUUAAUUCUAACAAUUCAACCCUAUCAUCAUUUAUUUCAUUGGGUUGUUUUUCUUCAGAUUCUAGAAUAUCAAGUAAUUCAAAAUUUUGACUCUUAAGUGUUUUAAUUUUUUCAUCUCCCUUUUUUAUUUUACUUGAGAGUUUAUGAUUUUCUUCUUUUAAUAACAUGCAUUCUUUUUGUGAUUCUUCUAAUUCUAUUGAGUGAUCAAUAUGUGAUUUAUUCAUGCAUUCUAGUCUUAAUGAUUUACUUAAUUUUUUCUCAGCUUUAUAUUUAUUCAUUAAUUCUAGAAAUGCUUCUUCUAAUGAAUUAAAUCUAGUAUUUGUAAAGUUUACCUCAGAGUCGUUCUCAUGAGCCAUGAGGCAGUCUUCUUGAUCUGACUCAGAAUCUGACCAGUGUACUUGAUGUGCUUUUUCUUUCUUUAGUAGAGGACAUUCAGGUCUGAUGUGUCCAGAUUUGUCGCACAAGUAGCAGAUGGGCUCCUUUGGGUCUUUGUGGUUUUUACUUACUUUUCUGUCGGAAUUCUGAUGGUCUAUCCUUGAAUUUCUCUUUUAUUUCCUUUUUAUGUGAUAUCUCUUUAAAUGAUUUGUGAGCAUUGCCAAGUCAUCAUCAGAUGAUUCAUUAUCGCUUUGACUUUUGAGAGCAAUGUCCUUUUUCUCCUCUUUUGCUCUAAAGAUAAAUCUUUCCUCUUCAUAGGCCAUCAGAUUUCCGCAAAGUUCUACCACUGUGAGUUUGUUCAGAUCAUGAGAUUCUUGGAUAGCAUUCCUCUUUGAGUAGUAUUUGUUUGGAAGGCUUCUUAGAAUCUUGCUCACUUGCUUUUUCUCAGUUACUGGAUCCCCUAGUCCAGCCAGAUCAUUGACUAUUUGUGAUAGUCGAAUGUUCAUUUCUGCGAUAGUCUCAUCUUCCUUCAUAGAGAAUCUUUCGAAUUGAGAAGUGGCAUGUAGUAGCUUAUUUUCCUUGACGUGGGAGGUUCCUUCAUGUAAAUCCUCCAAAGCUUUCCAUACCUUGUGAGCUGUAUCCAAGCAUCGAAUUCUGCUGUACUCAGAUUCAUUGAGAGCGCCAUAUAGUGCAUUCAAUGCUCUUGAGUUGUUGUUUUCCUUGAGGAUAUCCAUUGCUCCCCAAGUCUCUUCUUUGCUUGUUGGAAUAUCAUAAUCUUCCAAUAUGAUUUUCCAGACUCUAUUGUUGAUUGACUUUAAGUAUAACUUUAUCUUGUUCUUCCAGAAGUCAUACUUUACUCCAUCGAACCUGGGAGGUUUGUUCGAUGCAAGACCAGUACUGUUUUCACCAUUUGAAGCCAUAGUUGUUGUUGUAAGAUGUUAGUCUGAUUUCAACGAAACUUGGCUCUGAUACCACUUGUUGGAUCGUGAUCCGAGGCUAUAAGGGGGGAUGAUAGCCUCUUUUCGAUUUAUACAGGUUGAUUGCGGAAUUACCUGUAAAUGCUUAAUAAACAAAUGGUUGAACAGUAAUGAUAUAAUGAUAUUAUUAUUUUAAUUGAUAUAAUAAUGUAAGUAUUACUCUUCGAAGCUUACUACAGUAUAUGAAUACUGAGUCAACUUGCUUGAUAGUGUUUCACACACAACUAUAGUAUAUGAAUACUAAGUUAUAUUGGAAACACAAAUUGUAUUGUAGAGUAAAUGACCAGAUAACUGGAUAUAUUGAUACGCAAGUAAAUGACCAGAUAACUGGAUAUAUUGACAAACAAGUAAGUGACCAGAUAACUGGAUAAGUUGAUAAACAAGUAAGUGACCAGAUAACUGGAGAGAUAUGAUAAGUAAUACUUGAACAAAUAUAAGGAUUUAAAGCAAUGAAUAUAACCUCAGAUAGUUGACCAGAUAACUGGAUGAGGGAUCUGCGUAAAGUAGUCAACCUCUGUGUUUGACCAGAUAACUGGAUUAGGGAUCUUUUUAAUUAAGUGUUGUUUUUAAGUAAAAGAUAGAACUAUAAUUAACAGAGAACAACACAAGAGAUUUAUACUGGUUCACAGAAACAAGGGCUAGUCCAGUCCCGACCAACUGCCGGAAUUCACUCGCCUAAAGGUAAUGGCAAAACCUUAGAGUAUCAAGGAAACUCUUAAGAACCUCUCUAAGCUUUAAGGCUACUUCGCUUAGGAACCAGUCUUUUACGGGUAGACUCACACCUUAGAGUAUCAAGGGCACUCUUAAGAACCUCUAACUUUUACGGGUAAGUUAGUACCUUAGAGUAUCAAGGAACUCUUAAAAACCUCUCUAAGCUUUAAGGCUACUUCGCUUAGGAACCAGUCUUCUACGGGUAGACUCACACCUUAGAGUAUCAAGGGCACUCUUAAGAACCUCUAACUUUUACGGGUAAGUUAGUACCUUAGAGUAUCAAGGAACUCUUAAAAACCUCUGAAAUCUUUAAAGGUAGACUCAACCUAAGAGUUUUCCCGGAAACUCUAUAAAACCAAACUAGAGCUUUAUAGUUGAUCUCACAAACCUUCUCUAACACUUUGGUACUAUUGAGACAACCCUCUCAACCAAAGUGGACACACACAAGAGGUGAUUAGAGGAGUGGAAUAUUAAAGCAAACAACACUUCUUACUUGUAA